RNAcentral lists this ribosomal RNA (253 nucleotides) under uncultured bacterium. RNAcentral describes it as "partial 16S ribosomal RNA". It matches the Rfam family "Bacterial small subunit ribosomal RNA", at positions 524 to 776 of the family's 1533-position model. The record is from RNAcentral.
UACGUAGGGGGCAAGCGUUGUCCGGAAUCAUUGGGCGUAAAGCGCGUGUAGGCGGCUUGGUAAGUCUGCUCUGAAAGCCCGGGGCUCAACCCUGGGAGGCGGGUGGAUACUGCUGAGCUCGAGUCCGGAAGAGGAGAGUGGAAUUCCUGGUGUAGCGGUGAAAUGCGCAGAUAUCAGGAGGAACACCAAUGGCGAAGGCAGCUCGCUGGGACGGUACUGACGCUGAGACGCGAAAGCGUGGGGAGCAAACAGG